This 497-nucleotide ribosomal RNA is filed under the name uncultured bacterium. RNAcentral describes it as "partial 16S ribosomal RNA". It matches the Rfam family "Bacterial small subunit ribosomal RNA", at positions 28 to 507 of the family's 1533-position model. The record is from RNAcentral.
GACGAACGCUGGCGGCGUGCCUAAUACAUGCAAGUUGAGCGCUGAAGGUUGGUACUUGUACCAACUGGAUGAGCAGCGAACGGGUGAGUAACGCGUGGGGAAUCUGCCUUUGAGCGGGGGACAACAUUUGGAAACGAAUGCUAAUACCGCAUAAAAACUUUAAACACAAGUUUUAAGUUUGAAAGAUGCAAUUGCAUCACUCAAAGAUGAUCCCGCGUUGUAUUAGCUAGUUGGUGAGGUAAAGGCUCACCAAGGCGAUGAUACAUAGCCGACCUGAGAGGGUGAUCGGCCACAAUGGGACUGAGACACGGCCCAAACUCCUGCGGGAGGCAGCAGUAGGGAAUCUUCGGCAAUGGACGAAAGUCUGACCGAGCAACGCCGCGUGAGUGAAGAAGGUUUUCGGAUCGUAAAACUCUGUUGGUAGAGAAGAACGUUGGUGAGAGUGGAAAGCUCAUCAAGUGACGGUAACUACCCAGAAAGGGACGGCUAACUACGUG